GAACCGGUACGCCGCUGAUGGAGCCACUGGCGGGGGCGAGUGGAUAAAUCGGAGUCCCUGAGCCAUCGACUACAGGUAAGGCCGGUAUCAUCCGCGGAAGGAACAGAUGAGGCGGCGGCAUCUGUACCCCAGAUGACCCACUAUCCGAAGAAGUAGGACCCGGAGUGGGCGCCCGGUGUAUCUCAGGCAUACGGGGUGCAGACACCUCCGUCUGGGUCUGAGGCCACAGCUGCCUCGAGGAACGAGGGACGGCCGCCUGCCUCGAUGAAAGGGGCACCUCCGGCUGCCUUUGCAUCGUCUCCAGAAGGCUCGCACGUCUGGCUGUCAUCUGGCCCUGAAACGUCGUUUGGGGGUUGCUAGAGGUUCCCUCAGACGAUUCGGACCUUUGGCCCUUCGAACUCUUCUUCGAUCUAAAAUAGCCGCUCAUCCUAUUUAAAAUAUUAAUUUGAAUCAAGGCUGAGGUAACAUUGAAAAAGUAAAAUUCAAUCUUAUCCUUCUCAAAUCUAAGGCUUUAGAUUAUUUUGUCUUUAUUCUAUAAAAAAUAUUUUUGAAACCAUAUUUUUUCAUUAUGUUCAUGCUUAAAUUUAAACACUUAAUAUAAUGUGAAAUAUAUAUAUGUUUAAAAUUAUACUUAUUCAAAAAUAUGAAUUCAAUAAAAUAUAUAUAUAUAUAUUCAUCCGGAUUUGAUAUAAGUUUUUCUAUUUUGUAUUUUGUAUCUUAUGUUUAAAAAUUUGUACCCUGCCCACGAUAAAACCAGUACCUAUAAUUAAUAAUAAAGGGAGAGGGAGGGAGGAGGUGGAGACCGGGAGAGGGAGGGAGGGAGGAGGGAGGAGACCGGGACCGGGAGAGGGAGGGAGGGAACGGGAGGAAGCGGAAACGGGAGAGGGAGGGAGGAGGGAGGAGGGAGGAGGGAGGAGGGAGGAGACCGGGACCAGCAGAGGGAGGGAGGGAGGAGGGAGGAGGCUAGGGUUUCGCAGUUAAACUCGAAAACUUUAGCCGACGAAUUAAUUAUUUCGUCGGCUAAAGCUACGAAUUUCGUCGGCUAUACAUCAAUUCGUCGGCUAAACCUUCUAAAUUCGUCGGCUAAAACUUUGAAAUUCGUCGGCUAAACUUUAUAAAUUCGUCGACUAAACCUUUGAAAUUCGUCGGCUAACCUUUGAAAUUCGUCGGCUAAAAGUAUUUUUAUACAUUUGGCACAUUGUGAUUGUGAUGAUCAAACUUGAGAAAAAUAAAUCCGACCGUCUGAUCUGACCAUCAUGAC
Molecule: long non-coding RNA, 1261 nt
Filed under: Fragaria vesca (wild strawberry)
Lineage: Eukaryota; Viridiplantae; Streptophyta; Magnoliopsida; Rosales; Rosaceae
Description: long non-coding RNA (FVES_LNC004841)
Source: RNAcentral